AGCAGUCGCGCGUAAUACGAAGGGGGCUAGCGUUGUUCGGAAUUACUGGGCGUAAAGCGCACGUAGGCUGACAUUUAAGUCAGGGGUGAAAUCCCGGGGCUCAACCUCGGAACUGCCUUUGAUACUGGGUGUCUUGAGUGUGGAAGAGGUAAGUGGAAUUGCGAGUGUAGAGGUGAAAUUCGUAGAUAUUCGCAGGAACACCAGUGGCGAAGGCGGCUUACUGGUCCACAACUGACGCUGAGGUGCGAAAGCGUGGGGAGCAAACAGGAUUAGAUACCCCAGUAGUCCCUGUCUCUUAUACAC
This 303-nucleotide ribosomal RNA is filed under the name uncultured bacterium. RNAcentral describes it as "partial 16S ribosomal RNA". It matches the Rfam family "Bacterial small subunit ribosomal RNA", at positions 510 to 809 of the family's 1533-position model. The record is from RNAcentral.